RNAcentral lists this ribosomal RNA (492 nucleotides) under uncultured bacterium. Its description in RNAcentral is "partial 16S ribosomal RNA". It matches the Rfam family "Bacterial small subunit ribosomal RNA", at positions 28 to 507 of the family's 1533-position model. The record is from RNAcentral.
GAUGAACGCUAGCUACAGGCUUAACACAUGCAAGUCGAGGGGCAGCGGUAUCGAAAGCUUGCUUUCGGUAGCCGGCGACCGGCGCACGGGUGAGUAACGCGUAUCGAACCUGCCUCAUACUCGGGAAUAGCCUUGCGAAAGUAAGAUUAAUGCCCGGUGUUUUCAGAGUCCCGCAUGAGGCUUUGAACAAAGAUUUAUCGGUAUGAGAUGGCGAUGCGUCCCAUUAGCUUGUUGGCGGGGUAACGGCCCACCAAGGCAUCGAUGGGUAGGGGUUCUGAGAGGAAGGUCCCCCACAUUGGAACUGAGACACGGUCCAAACUCCUACGGGAGGCAGCAGUGAGGAAUAUUGGUCAGUGGGCGGAAGCCUGAACCAGCCAAGUAGCGUGCAGGAAGACGGCCCUCCGGGUUGUAAACUGCUUUUAGUUGGGAAUAAAACGGGGCUCGUGAGCCCCCUUGCAUGUACCAUCAGAAAAAGGACCGGCUAAUUCCGUG